AGAGUUUGAUCCUGGCUCAGGAUGAACGCUGGCGGCGUGCUUAACACAUGCAAGUCGAACGAUCCUUCGGGAUAGUGGCGGACGGGUGAGUAACGCGUGGGAAUCUGCCCUCAGGAGGGGGAUAACGGCUGGAAACGGCCGCUAAUACCCCAUAUGCCGAGAGGUGAAAUGAAUUUCGCCUGAGGAUGAGCCCGCGUCUGAUUAGCUAGUUGGUGGGGUAAAGGCCUACCAAGGCAACGAUCAGUAGCUGGUCUGAGAGGAUGAUCAGCCACACUGGGACUGAGACACGGCCCAGACUCCUACGGGAGGCAGCAGUGGGGAAUUUUCCGCAAUGGGCGAAAGCCUGACGGAGCAACGCCGCGUGAGGGAUGAAGGCCUCUGGGCUGUAAACCUCUUUUCUCAAGGAAGAAGACCUGACGGUACUUGAGGAAUAAGCCACGGCUAAUUCCGUGCCAGCAGCGGCGGUAAUACGGGAGUGGCAAGCGUUAUCCGGAAUUAUUGGGCGUAAAGCGUCCGCAGGCGGCCUUGUAAGUCUGUUGUUAAAGCGUGGAGCUCAACUCCAUUUAAGCAAUGGAAACUACAAGGCUGGAGUGUGGUAGGGCAGAGGGAAUUCCCGGUGUAGCGGUGAAAUGCGUAGAUAUCGGGAAGAACACCAGUGGCGAAGGCGCUCUGCUGGGCCAUAACUGACGCUCAUGGACGAAAGCCAGGGGAGCGAAAGGGAUUAGAUACCCCUGUAGUCCUGGCCGUAAACGAUGAACACUAGGUGUCGGGGGAAUCGACCCCCUCGGUGUCGUAGCCAACGCGUUAAGUGUUCCGCCUGGGGAGUACGCACGCAAGUGUGAAACUCAAAGGAAUUGACGGGGGCCCGCACAAGCGGUGGAGUAUGUGGUUUAAUUCGAUGCAACGCGAAGAACCUUACCAGGGUUUGACAUCCUGCGAACCCCUGAGAAAUCGGGGGGUGCCUUCGGGAGCGCAGAGACAGGUGGUGCAUGGCUGUCGUCAGCUCGUGUCGUGAGAUGUUGGGUUAAGUCCCGCAACGAGCGCAACCCACGUCUUUAGUUGCCAGCAUUCAGUUGGGCACUCUAGAGAGACCGCCGGUGAUAAACCGGAGGAAGGUGUGGAUGACGUCAAGUCAUCAUGCCCCUUACAUCCUGGGCUACACACGUACUACAAUGCUACGGACAAAGGGCAGCAAGCUCGCGAGAGUUAGCAAAUCCCAUAAACCGUGGCUCAGUUCAGAUCGUAGGCUGCAACUCGCCUACGUGAAGGAGGAAUCGCUAGUAAUCGCAGGUCAGCAUACUGCGGUGAAUACGUUCCCGGGCCUUGUACACACCGCCCGUCACACCAUGGAAGUUGGCCAUGCCCGAAGUCGUUACUCCAACCCUUGUGGAGGAGGACGCCGAAGGUGGGGCUGAUGACUGGGGU
Molecule: ribosomal RNA, 1425 nt
Filed under: metagenome
Description: bacterial SSU rRNA
Rfam family: Bacterial small subunit ribosomal RNA
Source: RNAcentral